RNAcentral lists this ribosomal RNA (253 nucleotides) under uncultured bacterium. RNAcentral's name for it is "partial 16S ribosomal RNA". It matches the Rfam family "Bacterial small subunit ribosomal RNA", at positions 524 to 776 of the family's 1533-position model. The record is from RNAcentral.
UACGUAGGGGGCCAGCGUUGUCCGGAAUCAUUGGGCGUAAAGCGCGCGUAGGCGGUCAGGUAAGUCCGGUGUGAAAGUCAAAGGCUCAACCUUUGAAUGCCGCUGGAUACUGCCUGACUUGAGUCCGGAAGGGGCGAGUGGAAUUCCUGGUGUAGCGGUGAAAUGCGCAGAUAUCAGGAGGAACACCGGUGGCGAAGGCGGAUCUCUGGGCCUUACCUGACGCUGAGGCGCGAAAGCUAGGGGAGCGAACAGG